UUUUUUUUGCUUUUGAUUUUGUUAGUGUUCGAAACUUGUUUAUGAGCUAUGAUUUCAUGUUGUUUCAAGAUACUAUGUGUUGUAUAGUUGAUGCAAACAAAUAAUCAAAAGAACAAAUGAUCUUUUUAGGGUUUUUUCUUUCUCGUUUGACUUUUCUACUUGCUAAUUUGUUCAGUAAGUUUGUUAUUGUUUGAAAUUUGCGUAUGAGCUAUGAUUCAUGUUGUUUCAAAAGUCUGUGUGUUGUAUAGCUGGUGCGAAGAAAGAGUUAAAUGAACAAAGGACGUUUUUGUGUGGGUUUUUUAGUCGUUUUGACUACUUUAGUUGCUAAUUUGUUCAGUAAUAUUUGUUUAAUUUUAAUCGAUUGAAAGAUACUACUGUGAACCCUAAAAUUUGUCUGAUCUCCAUUCAUCGACACUAUUUUCUAAUAUACGGUUAUGCCUCUGUUCUGCUAACGAUAAAGUUUCUGUAUAAAUGUUGUCUGACCUAAGAAGUUUGUGAUAGAGGUAUCAUGGAGUUGGUUUUUCUUCCUAAGCGAACAAGAUUUCAUUUUCUUUUAUUUAUUGAUUCUAAUUUCAGGUGCAGUACUCUUUUUUUAUUGUGUUUGUUGCUUUGUUGAACAGAGGUAAAGGGUGGUCUGUCUGUUUUAUAUUGUUACUUUGGUCAAGUAUGAGGGUGGAUCAGAACAUGGGUGCAUCAUCACGUACUGGAUAGAAGUUGAAGGAAUGUCAGACUUGUCUAUUUAUGAGCUUGAAGAUAUCAUCUGGGAUGACUUUGAUCGCAGUGGUGAUCAUAUAGUGCCCCACUCUGGUAACAACCAUGGUAGUGAAGAUAAAUGUGAGGAAGACAGCUGUAAGAAGCCUCGACAUGAAGAAACACCUCUUCAGAGCAAUACAGGCAACCUUUAUGCUUCUGGUGAUGUUUGUCAAGUAAAGGAAGAAAGAGACACUAAGACAUUAAAUGAAAAAAGGAACAUGAUGGAACAAGAUUCAUGGUCUCAUAGACCUGAUGAUGUAUUUGCUGCUUCUGGUGAUGCUGGCACAGCAGAAGACAUGCCUGGUUUACAAAUUGGUGAUGCUGGGAUAUCAAAUCAUUGCUUCAAAAGCAGCAACAUCACCUCUGACAGUGAAUUAUGCACAGAUGAUGGCAUCCCCAAAGAUGCCUCUGCUGCAGUUGAUAGUAACUCCUACAAUUACCCUCCAAGUCACAUCCACCAGUCGGCUGAUCUUAAUUUAUUCUCCAAUGAUUGUGAUGAUAAACAAUCAAGUGAUCUUUUAUAUUAUGGCUGGCCUGAUAUUGGGAACUUUGAGGACGUGGACAGGAUGUUAAGCAAUUGUGAUUCGUCAUUUGGACUGGGCGUUACAGGGAGUGGCGAUGAAUUGGUGUGGUUUACAUCCGAAGAUCCAGCUGGAGGAUAUGAAGAAGCAUUGAAGAUGGACCUCAAGUUUCCAUGUUCAGAGUCAAGUGCUUUAACAAAUAUGUCACAGGAUAAUGGACCUCAUGAAUCAGAUAACAGAUCUAGUUUUGUCUCUGAAAGCGAAGAUCAAUUUAAGCUCAAAGAUCAGAAAAAACAGUCAAAGCAACAGAAUCAGACAGAAGGAAAGAAAGCAGGUCGGUGUGUUGUAAAUUAUGGUUUGAAAAGCAAUGACAUUCGGCUUUCUUCAAGCGAUGAAUCUGAUCAAGUUUUCACCUCCAUAGGCAACUGGCAGCAAAAUAAAAGCUUAGAACAUGAUUCUUUUCGCUACAAGCAGAGCAGCUCUUAUCUGCAUUCAGGUCAUGAUCAUGUUCCAAUGCAAACUAACGGUGCCCAGGUGAUGACUGGAAUCAAAUCUGAAAAUAAGGGUCUCGCAGCUCCUUUCCGAAAAGAAGCUUCCAAUGCAACAAACCAGGUUCAUUCAGUGGAGAGUCUCGGUGAUUCUUUAUUUCAGGGGGCUGCUUUUGAAAUCUCUGAGAGAAGAAAAGUACAUCAUGCACAUGCAUCCCAGCCUUCACUUAGUGGAAACCAAAAACAAAUGGGUAUGAUGCUUCAGGCUUCAGGAAAUGACCUGUUCUCAUCCCAAAAGCAAUUCCAUAUUUUGGAAAAAAAACCUGAAAGCCAAAAUGAUAUGGAGGAAGUUAAGAAAGGAGCUUCUGCAGAAUUAGCUAUGAUAGGUGUACCAGAAGGCUCUUCCAUUAGUUCUGAGGUGGAUGAAAUCUCACUAGAAGCAACUAGUUUCCUCCAGCUUCAACAGGUUAUGGAACAGGUAGGAUGACAUUGCCUUUCUUCAUCAAGGAAUCUGGUUUUUGCAUUAGAGGUCUUAAUACUAUCAUGAUAUAAGUACAGAUUAUAUUCAUCAUUGGACAUCCCUGUUGUAUCCACUGGUUAACGCAGAAGCUUUGAACAUCCCUAUUGCAUUAUCAAUGUUUCUAAAAGUUGGACUGCUUAAUUGUAGCCACACAUGUCAAAAUCCUAAACUUGCAUUCCUAGCCCCUUUUCUUGUUAGAAUUCUGCAUGUUGUAUGCUAUUAAUACAUAUCCUCAAGGCACAGUUGUUUUGCUUGGCAUUCCCCCAUCUAAUGCAAGGUAAAAUUUGAACCGUAUUUAUUACUACCUGUAGAUGCAUAUCAGCCCACAUCAAGGAGAAAUAUGUGACGUUCUUGAGCUACCAAAGCAUCCAGUUAUUAUGUUAAUAAGUUUUUGAUGCAUAUCAGCCCUCAUCAAGUAGACGGUUUCUAUAGAGAAUGAAGAUACAAACUUCAAGAAAAACUAAGAACUAAAGGAAAUGCUCCAAGUUGCAUUAAUUUCCGUGUCAAGCUGAUAAGCCGUACACUGGAGGUAUAAUUUGGUUAUUGUGCAAAGGUAAAGAACACAAGCUGGUUUUUUUAGAAAUCAAUUUGGAUCGUUGCCAUAAAGAAGCAUAGGAGAAGCUAUAUUCUUAAUGAAACAAUUUACUGGAAGAUACUAGGGCAGCUAGAAAUUUGCAUAUCGUACUUAUAUUAAUCAAGGUGAUCAGCCAGCUGUUAAGGCCUCUAUUGGCCUCGAUAGGCAGGUAUUAAGCUGGGAGUCUGUAAGAGUACAUAAGAUUGAAGACCUAACUGCAGCAGUAUUGAUGAUUUCAUGAUCUUCAAUCUAGCCUUGGAUUGAUGUAGUAUUGUAGAGGGAGGAAAAAAGGAUUCUGCAAUAUUAUUCAGAGGUAGGGGUAUGACCAGUUCAACAUGAGGGAAAUGGUCAAGAGAUAUUCAAAUAUUCAAACCCUUAAAUAGAAGAACAUGGAGAGAUGUCAUUCAUGUUCUAGAGUCCUACUCAUCUCUUCUAAUUUUUAGCGCUUUCAUAUUAUUCAUACCAUAACCACUUUUAAAGUAUGGGGUGGGAAUCAAAAAGGUUUUGUUGUCGCUGUGGAGCUAAGUCUUCCCUGUAGACACUUCACUAGCACGUCUUGUUGGCCAAAAAUGGUUGUAUAGCAGACUUCAUGUUCGUUAAAGGCAAUUUAACAUUCCCAUUAUAUAGUUCUAAAAUAAUGUAAUAGUUUGCUCCAACUGAACCCAAAAGGUAAUGAGCCCAGAAUGCCAUGACUAAUGUAAUUAAUAUAGCAGAAGCAUCUAUUUUUAAUCAUUUUAGCUGUGAGUGAGCAACAUUUGGAAUACCUGGAAGGGCCUAUCAAGUGCAAAGGAAGUUAUUAGAACACAUUGCUAAGCAAUGAAAAGAAGUGCAGCAAAGCACUUCAGCAGAAGUAUGGAAAUCCAAUCCAAGUUAAGGUAGACAAGUGGUAAAGGAACUUUGCCUUCUCUAGGAUAGAUGUAUCCUAUAACAUGCUUAUCUGUUGUCCAAGGACUGAAGGAGAAUGUAAACGCCCAUAGCCCUAUGGACCCUGUGUAUCAUUCACAUGGUUCGUACCUAGUGGUUCAAUUGCUCACAAUCAGGUGCCCUACGUAUAAUUGAUACUGUGAUUGUAUUUAUGAGAGAUACCCAUCGGGUUAGAGGAACUCAAGGUGUUGCAAGCCACGGUUCUUGACAGGUGCUAGAAAUUGUGGUCAGCAUUUUAGUGUGACGAUGUUUAUAUGCAAGAGAAAGAUAAAAGGGUAACAAAAUGUCGUUCACUUGGGUGGAUGUCAAACACGUGGCCAACCGAUGUUAAAGGCAAAGGCAACCUUGUGCAGUAAUUGAAAUUUGACAAUCAGUGAACGCUGGUUUUGCAAUUCUUUUAGGUUAACAAUGAGAAAUGAAACCAACAAAGAAUGAAGGAAUAAGUUCUAUGAUGUUGAACAAGACAUAAUAGGUAGUUCUUACAAAAACAUUGAAUUGUAAUAUAGGUAAAGAUGAUUUUGAAGUUGAAAAACUGAAGCAUACUAGACAUCU
Cynara cardunculus var. scolymus (artichoke) is the source of this 4332-nucleotide RNA transcript. It is a transcript of the gene named protein LNK1-like, with no coding region annotated. The record is from RefSeq and is a predicted model, not a curated record. Lineage: Eukaryota; Viridiplantae; Streptophyta; Magnoliopsida; Asterales; Asteraceae. The transcript is spliced from 5 exons.